RNAcentral lists this ribosomal RNA (276 nucleotides) under uncultured bacterium. RNAcentral's name for it is "partial 16S ribosomal RNA". It matches the Rfam family "Bacterial small subunit ribosomal RNA", at positions 338 to 629 of the family's 1533-position model. The record is from RNAcentral.
CCUACGGGGGGCAGCAGUGGGGGAUAUUGCACAAUGGGGGAAACCCUGAUGCAGCGACGCCGCGUGGGCGAAGAAGUAUUUCGGUAUGUGAAGCCCUAUCAGCAGGGAAGAAGAAAUGACGGUACCUGAGUAAGAAGCACCGGCUAAAUACGUGCCAGCAGCCGCGGUAAUACGUAGGGGGCAAGCGUUAUCCGGAAUUACUGGGUGUAAAGGGAGCGUAGACGGUGAUGCAAGUCUGGAGUGAAAGGCGGGGGCCCAACCUCCGGACUGCUCUGG